Molecule: ribosomal RNA, 253 nt
Filed under: uncultured prokaryote
Description: partial 16S ribosomal RNA
Rfam family: Bacterial small subunit ribosomal RNA
Source: RNAcentral
ACGUAGGCAGCGAGCGUUGUUCGGAGUUACUGGGCGUAAAGGGUGUGUAGGCGGUCCUUUAAGUUUGGUGUGAAAUCUCCCGGCUCAACUGGGAGGGUGCGCCGGAUACUGAGGGGCUAGAGUGCGGGAGAGGAGAGUGGAAUUCCUGGUGUAGCGGUGAAAUGCGUAGAUAUCAGGAGGAUCACCGGUGGUGUAAACGGCUCUCUGGACCGCAACUGACGCUGAGACACGAAAGCGUGGGUAGCAAACAGGA